RNAcentral lists this long non-coding RNA (870 nucleotides) under Homo sapiens (human). RNAcentral's name for it is "non-protein coding LINC02301:19". The record is from RNAcentral. Lineage: Eukaryota; Metazoa; Chordata; Mammalia; Primates; Hominidae.
GUUCCUGUGUGAUGGGGCCGGAGCCAGUAAACAGGCUUCCUUCUCGCUCUGCUGUAAGUUUUUCUCUUUCUCCCUUUUCACCCAAGAAGUUCCGUUUUUCCUACCCUUCUACGUGUCCGCGAGUCUAAUCUUUUCUGGCCAUAUGACAAGAACCAGGAUUUUCCUACAAUAUAAUUUGUAUAAGAAGAAGAAGUAGGAGAAACAAAAUAAGGAGGAGAAGAAGUAAAAUAAUUUGAGAAGGAAUAUGAAGGGGCUGAAAUCCUGGGCUUUCUGGGCAGAAGGAUCUACGAGCGGGAUCGUGGGUGAAACAUGAAGAUGAUGGUGGACAGGUGAGCUACGCAGUUCGUGGAAGAACCAGGGGUCACAUGGCCUAGAUGCUACCCUAGAUGAGAAAGAGUCCAAUGGUUAUCAACAAGUUCUGAAAGGCAAGGCCUAAGGUACUGAAAAUUAUAUUACUCAAAGCUGAAGGCAGCAAAUCUGUUCAUGUUUACACAGUUGGGAAAGUGGACUUGUGUUUUUUACAAGCAAACCAGUGACCAGCCAAUGGCAGGAGACCUUCCCCACCCCUAAAGGUGAUGCUCACCUACCGUCAUGGGUAAAAGGAAGCUCUGGCUCGAAUUCCUCAUGUAUUAUUCAUGUGUGAUGCCACCCAACGUGAUUCAGAGAAGAAAAUUCUCAGUGUGUUCACCAGAGGUGAUUACAUGAGAAUAAAGCACGGCCUGAUUUUUUUUCUUGUUCACAGGAAAAAAAAAAGAAAAGAAUGUAGAAUUUCUGAUGUGGGAUUGUUUCGACCUUGGAGAGUGUCCGUAUGAGACACAUGUGUGGUAUACAAAACACCUUUAAGAUUUAAUCAGAAUUGUAUAUCUUUCC